CACGGAUCACUGAUGGUGACGCAGGCCAGCAGACUCUGUCUCACCGUAGAGGAAAUUGGCGGAGCCUGGUAGCCAUGAUUUUGAGACCUUCAUAUGGAUGACGAAAUGGUUUCACUUCCAGGAGAAAGUGGAAUAUAAUUAGCCUAUACUACGGUAUCACAAUAGCCCCUUGAUGAUUUAAGUGGGCUUCCUACCAAGCCAAACUAACCCAACCCAACCAAAAGAUUUAUAAAAUUUUUUGACCAGGUCAUAAAAAGCAAAGGAGAACGCAGGAUGGAGCCUUUUAGCUGACAUGAGAGAACCGUUGAAUUACCGAGCGAUUCUGAAUACCUGAGAUGAUUCUACACUGCGCUGAGCCAAUUCCUAAUUCGCAGCAGCUGAAGAGAAAGGCGUAUAAAUGGAGGUCAGCAGCGAAUUUCACAAAAAAAAAAAAAUGACUCUAGUCGAUUAUAUGUGUUGCGAAAGCAUGUCCAAUGUAUUAAUAUCGCUGAAAUGAACUGAAAAAAAAACAACGUACACAAUUGUUGGGCAAAUGAACGACGUGGAUACUCAAAUGUUCAUUCGUAAACGGGCUUCGCUUACGAAAGAAUAGCCUGCAGGCUAGCCAAGGAAGCAAAUGCUGGAAAAAUUGAAUCUUCCACGUAUUUCUUAAUAAAAUAAGUUGAUAUACUUUUUUUUUAAUAAAUAUUUUUUAUAGAAACAUACCUAACCUCUGAU
Long non-coding RNA from Rhagoletis pomonella (apple maggot), 717 nucleotides. RefSeq lists it as uncharacterized. The record is from RefSeq and is a predicted model, not a curated record. Lineage: Eukaryota; Metazoa; Arthropoda; Insecta; Diptera; Tephritidae. The transcript has 4 exons.